This 347-nucleotide long non-coding RNA is filed under the name Homo sapiens (human). Its description in RNAcentral is "HSALNT0336198". Lineage: Eukaryota; Metazoa; Chordata; Mammalia; Primates; Hominidae. The record is from RNAcentral.
UGCAAAGCUGUUCAUUGGCCUCGGCUGCGUUUCUCACCAGCCAUCUGGCUGUCAAGAUGCCCAACACAGAGCAGUUGCUUAAUAUGCACAUUCUUUGCUGCACAAGCUUUUUCAAAAACUGCUGCUGAGUUUGCACGAUGAAGCUGCUGUGGACUGAAUAUUUGUGUUUUCUCCAAAUUCGCACGAAGCCCUAACCCCCCAUGCGUCUAUAUUUGGAGAUGGGGCCUUUACAGAGCACUUCCCCCUUCGAUCUCUUCCUCCUGCUCCAGCCAUGUGGGACGCGUUUGUUUCACCUUCACCUUCCACUGUGAUUGUAUUUCCUGAGGCAUCUCCAGAAUCAGAAGGCU